RNAcentral lists this long non-coding RNA (338 nucleotides) under Theobroma cacao (cacao). RNAcentral describes it as "long non-coding RNA (TCAC_LNC002883)". Lineage: Eukaryota; Viridiplantae; Streptophyta; Magnoliopsida; Malvales; Malvaceae. The record is from RNAcentral.
CGCGUCUCUCAUACUAAGGUAAAAUAUGAUGGGGUUUACCAUGCCCCUCUAAUAGGUUGGUCCACGAAAACCCGCCCACUGUAGUAAGCUAAUCAAUUACCCCCCCAAAUCAAUAAAAAUUUCGGCAACAUGACAUGGCUAAUAUGAUAUUUGCCAGCUUGUUAAGGUAAAUUAAAACAGUUCAUAUAUUCCACACAAACACAAAUCCAGCCAUUCAUGCCAUCACAUUGUCAUAAGCCAUCAAUUCAAACCAUAUAUCAAACACGAGUAUAUAGUCUCCACAUACUCAAUUUCCAAAACCAGUAUUCAAUUUCAAAACAAGUUUAAAUCUCAUUUCG